Molecule: ribosomal RNA, 467 nt
Filed under: uncultured bacterium
Lineage: Bacteria
Description: partial 16S ribosomal RNA
Rfam family: Bacterial small subunit ribosomal RNA
Source: RNAcentral
GACGAACGCUGGCGGCGUGCUUAACACAUGCAAGUCGAACGGAAAGGCCCUGCUUUUGUGGGGUGCUCGAGUGGCGAACGGGUGAGUAACACGUGAGUAACCUGCCCUUGACUUUGGGAUAACUUCAGGAAACUGGGGCUAAUACCGGAUAGGAGCUCCUGCUGCAUGGUGGGGGUUGGAAAGUUUCGGCGGUUGGGGAUGGACUCGCGGCUUAUCAGCUUGUUGGUGGGGUAGGGGCUUACCAAGGCUUUGACGGGUAGCCGGCCUGGGAGGGUGACCGGCCACAUUGGGGUAGAGGUAGCGCCCAUACUCACUCGGGGGGCAGGGGGGGGGAAUAUGCCACAAGGGGCGGCGGCCUGAAGCAGCAACGCCGGGGGCGGAAUGACGGCCUUCGGGUUGUAACCCGCUUUCGCCUGUGACGAAGCGUGAGUGACGGUAAUGGGCAAAGAAGCACCGGUUAACUCCUU